CAAUAGCGUAUAUUAAAGUUGUUGCGGUUAAAAGCUCGUAGUUGGAUUUCUGCUGAGGACGACCGGUCCGCCCUCCGGGUGAGCAUCUGGUUCGGCCUUGGCAUCUUCUUGGUGAACGUAUCUGCACUUGACUGUGUGGUGCGGUACCCAGGACUUUUACUUUGAGGAAAUUAGAGUGUUUCAAGCAGGCAUACGCCUUGAAUACAUUAGCAUGGAAUAAUAAGAUAGGACCUCGGUUCUAUUUUGUUGGUUUCUAGAGCUGAGGUAAUGAUUAAUAGGGACAGUUGGGGAUAUUCAUAUUUGAGCGUCAGAGGUGAAAUUCUUGGAUCGCUGAAAGAUGAGCUUAGGCGAAAGCAUUUAUCAAAGAUGUUUUCAUUAUUCAAGAACGAAAGUUAGGGGAUCGAAGACGAUCAGAUAUCGU
Molecule: ribosomal RNA, 421 nt
Filed under: uncultured eukaryote
Lineage: Eukaryota
Description: SSU rRNA
Rfam family: Eukaryotic small subunit ribosomal RNA
Source: RNAcentral